CAGUCGCCGCGGGAAUACAGAGGGUGCGAUCGUUAAUCGGAUUUACUGGGCGUAAAGCGUGCGUAGGCGGCUUCUUAAGUCGGAUGUGAAAUCCCUGAGCUUAACUUAGGAAUUGCAUUCGAUACUGGGAAGCUAGAGUAUGGGAGAGGAUGGUAGAAUUCCAGGUGUAGCGGUGAAAUGCGUAGAGAUCUGGAGGAAUACCGAUGGCGAAGGCAGCCAUCUGGCCUAAUACUGACGCUGAGGUACGAAAGCAUGGGGAGCAAACAGGAUUAGAUACCGUGUGUCCCUGUCUCUUAUACAC
RNAcentral lists this ribosomal RNA (301 nucleotides) under uncultured bacterium. RNAcentral describes it as "partial 16S ribosomal RNA". It matches the Rfam family "Bacterial small subunit ribosomal RNA", at positions 509 to 809 of the family's 1533-position model. The record is from RNAcentral.